AGGGGCAACCCUUAGUAGAGCGGCGCACGGGUGCGUAACACGUGGAUAAUCUGCCUGGAUGCCUGGGAUAACCAGUCGAAAGAUUGGCUAAUACCGGAUAAGCCCACGGUUUCUUCGGAGACUGAGGGAAAAGGUGGCCUCUGUAUACAAGCUAUCACAACCAGAUGAGUCCGCGGCCCAUCAGCUAGUUGGCGGGGUAAUGGCCCACCAAGGCGACGACGGGUAGCUGGUCUGAGAGGACGAUCAGCCACACUGGAACUGAGACACGGUCCAGACUCCUACGGGAGGCAGCAGUGGGGAAUUUUGCGCAAUGGGCGAAAGCCUGACGCAGCAACGCCGCGUGUGUGAUGAAGGUCUUUGGAUUGUAAAGCACUUUCGACCGGGACGAAACCGUAAAGCCUAAUACGCUUUGCCUUGACGGUACCGGGAGAAGAAGCACCGGCUAACUCUGUGCCAGCAGCCGCGGUAAUACAGAGGGUGCAAGCGUUGUUCGGAAUUAUUGGGCGUAAAGCGCGUGUAGGCGGCUUUGCAAGUCGGGUGUGAAAGCCCUCAGCUCAACUGAGGAAGUGCGCCCGAAACUGCAGAGCUUGAGUGCCGGAGAGGGUGGCGGAAUUCCCCAAGUAGAGGUGAAAUUCGUAGAUAUGGGGAGGAACACCGGUGGCGAAGGCGGCCACCUGGACGGUAACUGACGCUGAGACGCGAAAGCGUGGGUAGCAAACAGGAUUAGAUACCCUGGUAGUCCACGCCGUAAACGAUGAGAACUAGGUGUCGUGAGAGUUGACCCCCGCGGUGCCGUAGCU
Molecule: ribosomal RNA, 800 nt
Filed under: Corallococcus coralloides
Lineage: Bacteria; Pseudomonadati; Myxococcota; Myxococcia; Myxococcales; Myxococcaceae
Description: bacterial SSU rRNA
Rfam family: Bacterial small subunit ribosomal RNA
Source: RNAcentral